UUUUUUUGUUGUACCAUAUGAGUUUUGGGUUAACUGAAUGGCUGCAAAGCUUUAUCCCCAUCAAUCAAUAAGAUUAACAAAACCUAUAUUGAUUGAUUCUUUAAUUUUUUUUUAUAAACUUAAAAAAAAAGUGGGUUAACUUUGAGUCUUACACUGUGUACAGUAAAUUAAAAAGGUGGAUGAACCCUGAUGAUGGUGAUAAGUUUCUGUUUGAACGAAAACAUUGUGUUUCAGUUGGAGUUGCUUGCAAUACAGCGCACCAAAUCCAUCAAUAUCAAGGGGCUAUUUGGAACAGUAAAACACUAGUGCAAGAUGAUAACCAAAAUUCCCUUCCCAACGAGUAGUGAGCAAAC
Molecule: long non-coding RNA, 353 nt
Organism: Daphnia pulex (common water flea)
Lineage: Eukaryota; Metazoa; Arthropoda; Branchiopoda; Diplostraca; Daphniidae
Exons: 3
Source: RefSeq, a predicted model, not a curated record